GACGAACGCUGGCGGCGUGCUUAACACAUGCAAGUCGAACGAUGAAGAAAAGAAUUGAAGCUUCGGCAGAAAUUCAUUUCGGAUUAGUGGCAGACGGGUGAGUAACGCGUGAGCAACCUACCUCUUACAAAGGGAUAGCCUCGGGAAACCGGGAUUAAUACCAUAUAACAUUGCGACGAAGCAUUUCGAUGCAAUCAAAGCUACGGCGGUAAGAGAUGGGCUCGCGUCCCAUUAACCAGAUGGUGAGGUAACGGCUCACCAUAGUAACGAUGGGUAACCGGCCUGAGAGGGUGAACGGUCACACUGGAACUGAGACACGGUCCAGACUCCUACGGGAGGCAGCAGUGGGGAAUAUUGCACAAUGGAGGGAACUCUGAUGCAGCGACGCCGCGUGAGUGAUGAAGGAAUUCGUUUCGUAAAUCUCUGUUCUAUGGGAAGAAAAGGACUGUACCAUAGGAGAAAGCUCCGGCUAAAUACGUG
Molecule: ribosomal RNA, 480 nt
Filed under: uncultured bacterium
Lineage: Bacteria
Description: partial 16S ribosomal RNA
Rfam family: Bacterial small subunit ribosomal RNA
Source: RNAcentral